GAUGAAGAACGUAGUGAAAUGCGAUAAGUAAUGUGAAUUGCAGAAUUCAGUGAAUCAUCGAAUCUUUGAACGCAUCUUGCGCUCCUUGGUAUUCUGAGGAGCAUGCCUGUUUGAGUGUCAUUAAAUUCUCAACUACACUGACUUUGAAUUGGUGUGGCUUGGAUUUGGGGGGAAAAUUGUUGUGGGCUUUUUGUAUAGUCUGCUCCCCUGAAAUUGAUUAGCGGUACCUUUGUGGAACUGUCUACAGGUGUGAUAAUUAUCUACAUCUUAGACAUCUGCUGGAAUGCUGCUUUCUAAACCUUACUUGUAUUGACAAUCUUGACCUCAAAUCAGGUAGGACUACCCGAUGAACUUAAGCAUAUCAAUCAGCGGAGGA
RNAcentral lists this unclassified non-coding RNA (376 nucleotides) under soil metagenome. RNAcentral describes it as "partial contains 5.8S ribosomal RNA, internal transcribed spacer 2, and large subunit ribosomal RNA". The stretch from base 1 to 120 matches the Rfam family "5.8S ribosomal RNA", at positions 35 to 154 of the family's 154-position model. The record is from RNAcentral.